GGCAGGUCCCAGUGCAGUGCUAUUUACAACUAGUUAAUCACAACCAGUUACAGAUUGCCUUGUUUCUUCUCCACUCCCACUGCUUCACUUGACUAAACUAAG
This is an unclassified non-coding RNA of Cercocebus atys (sooty mangabey), 102 nucleotides long. It matches the Rfam family "Y RNA". Rfam says of the family: Y RNAs are components of the Ro ribonucleoprotein particle (Ro RNP), in association with Ro60 and La proteins. The Y RNAs and Ro60 and La proteins are well conserved, but the function of the Ro RNP is not known. Lineage: Eukaryota; Metazoa; Chordata; Mammalia; Primates; Cercopithecidae. The record is from Ensembl.